GAAUGAAAAAUCAAGCGAUGUGAGUCAAAGGAGCGUUGGCAUCAUUACUAUUAGUAUUGUCGUUGGGGAGCGGCAGCUGCUUAUUCAUAAUCAUCUGAUUAUUUCUCUUCUUCUUCUUCUCAAUUCUAGCAGAUGUUGAACCAGCUUCUUUUAAGCUCAUCAACAAGUGCUGCUAGACGGUUUGGCCUGGCUUGCUAUCCGGCGCGGGCACCGCACUGCUUCCCACAACAGGCUUUGCUCUUAACGUUCUGUUUGAGUGGGGUGAGGGAAGGGUAUCAAGGGUAAGAGGGUAAGUAACUAUUAUUAUACUACUUGUUUG
Molecule: unclassified non-coding RNA, 319 nt
Filed under: Hevea brasiliensis (rubber tree)
Lineage: Eukaryota; Viridiplantae; Streptophyta; Magnoliopsida; Malpighiales; Euphorbiaceae
Source: RNAcentral